This 1411-nucleotide ribosomal RNA is filed under the name metagenome. Its description in RNAcentral is "bacterial SSU rRNA". It matches the Rfam family "Bacterial small subunit ribosomal RNA". The record is from RNAcentral.
CUCUCAGGAUGAACGCUGGCGGCGUGCUUAACACAUGCAAGUCGAACGAGCCUUCGGGCUAGUGGCGGACGGGUUAGUAACGCGUGAGAAUCUGCCCUCAGGAGGGGGAUAACGGCUGGAAACGGCCGCUAAUACCCCAUAUGCCGCGAGGUGAAAUGAGAAAUCGCCUGAGGAUGAGCUCGCGUCUGAUUAGCUAGUUGGUGGGGUAAGAGCCUACCAAGGCAUCGAUCAGUAGCUGGUCUGAGAGGAUGAUCAGCCACACUGGGACUGAGACACGGCCCAGACUCCUACGGGAGGCAGCAGUGGGGAAUUUUCCGCAAUGGGCGCAAGCCUGACGGAGCAACGCCGCGUGAGGGAUGAAGGCCUCUGGGCUGUAAACCUCUUUUCUCAAGGAAGAAGAACUGACGGUACUUGAGGAAUAAGCCACGGCUAAUUCCGUGCCAACAGCCGCGGUAAUACGGGAGUGGCAAGCGUUAUCCGGAAUUAUUGGGCGUAAAGCGUCCGCAGGCGGUCUUGAAAGUCUGUUGUUAAAGCGUGGAGCUCAACUCCAUUUCAGCAAUGGAAACUAGAAGACUAGAGUGUGGUAGGGGCAGAGGGAAUUCCCGGUGUAGCGGUGAAAUGCGUAGAUAUCGGGAAGAACACCAGUGGCGAAGGCGCUCUGCUGGGCCAUAACUGACGCUCAUGGACGAAAGCCAGGGGAGCGAAAGGGAUUAGAUACCCCUGUAGUCCUGGCCGUAAACGAUGAACACUAGGUGUCGGGGGAAUCGACCCCCUCGGUGUCGUAGCCAACGCGUUAAGUGUUCCGCCUGGGGAGUACGCACGCAAGUGUGAAACUCAAAGGAAUUGACGGGGGCCCGCACAAGCGGUGGAGUAUGUGGUUUAAUUCGAUGCAACGCGAAGAACCUUACCAGGGUUUGACAUCCUGCAAAUCUUUUGGAAACAGAAGAGUGCCUUCGGGAGCGCAGAGACAGGUGGUGCAUGGCUGUCGUCAGCUCGUGUCGUGAGAUGUUGGGUUAAGUCCCGCAACGAGCGCAACCCACGUCUUUAGUUGCCAGCAUUGAGAUGGGCACUCUAGAGAGACCGCCGGUGAUAAACCGGAGGAAGGUGUGGAUGACGUCAAGUCAUCAUGCCCCUUACAUCCUGGGCUACACACGUACUACAAUGCUACGGACAGAGGGCAGCAAACUCGCGAGAGCUAGCAAAUCCCAUAAACCGUGGCUCAGUUCAGAUCGUAGGCUGCAACUCGCCUACGUGAAGGAGGAAUCGCUAGUAAUCGCAGGUCAGCAUACUGCGGUGAAUACGUUCCCGGGCCUUGUACACACCGCCCGUCACACCAUGGAAGUUGGCCAUGCCCGAAGUCGUUACUCCAACCCUUGUGGAGGAGGACGCCGAAGGUGGGGCUGAUGACUGG